Molecule: non-coding RNA, 3817 nt
Organism: Doryrhamphus excisus (bluestripe pipefish)
Lineage: Eukaryota; Metazoa; Chordata; Actinopteri; Syngnathiformes; Syngnathidae
Source: RefSeq, a predicted model, not a curated record
AAGACAAACAACCAUUCACACUCACAUUCAUACCUAUGGACAAUUUGCUAAUGAACCUAGCAUGUUUUUGGAAUGUGGGAGGAAAACCGGAGCGUCUGGAGAAAACCCACACAUGCACGGGAAGAACAUGGAAACUCCACACAGAGAUGGCCGAGGAUGGAAUUGAACUCGGGUCUUCUAGCUGCGAGGCCUGCAUGCUAACCACUUGAUCACCUAUCCAAAAAUCAAAAAUCUAACAUUCCCUUCACUACAAUGGAUUCCGGAACUCCAAUCAUAUCCCUGGAAAGGAUACCGGAGUGUUCGAAUGACGUGUGAUGACUUCGUAAUUCAUUUAACCCGUCUGCAUCUCCUGACUUUGCGUUCUUCUGACAUCCGCCAUCCUCGUCUCCCAGCUGAUUUCCACCACUAAAAUGUCGCCCACUUAAUCUAAUUCAGUGAACAGCACCUCCUCACAAGACCUUUAACCCCCAACCCUGACCCACAGCUGCUGUCCCACUCAUCCACUGCGCCACAACCGCUAAUAAAUUAUUGCUGACUCAUCAUGAUCAAUGACGGGUAAUCAAGAUGACAUUUCGAGUUCAGGACACACGGCCAUUUUGCUUAUGUAUAUUUAUACUCUACCAGUUUAUGUUUUUAUUUUUUUUUGACAUAGUUAUAGCGUUAGAUGCUAUCUAACGCUAGUUUUUCUCCCACAGCAAGUACUGAUAGAUUGUUCAAUAAUUGCUGAGGAAAGUUAAGAAAUUCUCUUUAUGGUUAUCUUUCAGAUGAGCAUCAUUAUUGGAUGUCUGGGACAUUUUGCAAGGCGAAUCUUAUUUAAAGGAACAGUACACAAUAAAGCAAAAAUGUGGCCGUUUGUUUGAAAGAGUGGGGAUUAUAAAGUUAAAUGGAUUGUGAAUCUAUAAAGGAGAUUUGUAGACAAGAGGACUGAGAGCACUACUUGUUUUUAUUUUUCAUAUUCACACACACACACACGCACGCACACACACACACUUUUAGAUAUCUCGCUGCAAUCCACCCCUCAUCAACAUCCUUCUUGGAAAAUCACUGCAGCUCUGAAAAGUCAUUUCAACCCGCAGUACCAGCAGGCCCUUAAAGAUUCAUAUUCCUAUUUACUGUCUCCCUCUCUGCUUGUGCACACACACACUCUUUCUGCAACACACACACACAGCAGCACCAACUAACCCAGCAGGGUUAGGUUCAUGAAUAAAGGAGGGAAUUAGAGCAGACCUGAAGAAGUCAGAUAGAGAGCGAGGCAAAAGGAGACAGAGAGGUAUUAAAUUGUAUGAAAAGUAUCGUAGGGAAGGGGCAAAUCCAAAAUAAGUGGAUAUCAACAAGGAGGGAAAAUUCAGAAGGAGAUAAGAGGCAGGAAGUAGGAGAAGGUGAUAAUAUAAACAGAUUGCUUGUCUCUUAGAUCAAAACUAAAAGAGUACAAUACAUGCAAUAAAUCCUCUUUAUUUUGGGAUUAGAAUGUUCAUUUUUAAUGUAUGACUGCUAUAGUUUAUUGUAUACUUCAAUAUUUUAAAAAGUGAGCUUUAUUUGUGUUAUGUUCAUACAUGAGUGUGUGGUUUGCGAGGGGUUACUGUUCCUUUAAGGCUUAGUAGUCAAGUGUAACGAUUAACGUAAAGUGUGUUUGGUGGACGUAAACAGUUACGUUAAGCAUCCGACACAAUUGGUACUUUAAAGAACUUAUUAAUGUUUUUAUUUAGUUACCAUUUAUCUCCACUUAACCUUUCUACAGGAUUAUUCGUCCAAAAAUAUGUUUUUUCCACGAAAAUAGGCCGUUUUUAAUUAAUUCAUACUUCUUGUUGUCUUGUUUUGAAAUACGUGCUUUUAUUUUGACAAACACCUUAAAACCGGAAGUGACGGCGCUCCGGCGGAAAUGAGCACUAACACGCAAGUGAGGGUUCGGUUCGCCGGAGCAUCAAACUUUUUCCAACUCCUACAAACUGGAAACCACCACCGUCACAGAGUUUUGUGGUGAAGCACCGUCAAUAACCAUCCAUCUCAUCCUAAACUGUACAGAGUCAUAUCUCAGUUCCCUGAUGAGCUCCUAAAGUGUGACAGAUCUUCCGCUUCCCCGGCUCUCUUAAUCACAUGAUAAUUAGCCUGUCAUCAGCAACAGGGGGAACGUGCAGGACACAUAAUGAGGACAUUAGGCGGCGCAGUGAAAGGGACCCCCUACCAGGUGGAGGAUCAAUGGUACGGCCUGAUGAAAGGUGGACUUAUAUAUACAGCUGAUGGUUGGAGGCAAAGAGGCAAGAGAGUGCUAUUGAUUUGUGCACACACAUUAUCUACUGUACCCGAUUCUGCGGUUUGAGUCGCAUAUAUAUAGACGUGAACGGGCAUGAAACGCUCCGAGCGAGGUUAAAUUUGGAUGUAGAAAUGGAAGCAAUAGAGAUGUAAUGUCUGCCGACUGAAAAAAGGAAAAGCUCAAUUUACUGUAUACGGUAGAGAAAUCGGAUUUAGAUUGUUUAUUUUUAGAGGUCUGAUGUCAAGUGCAGGUGAUUCGAUUGAGGUGAAGGGAUGGCGAUACUGGCGGAAUGAUGCACUUUUGGGGUGUUUUUGCCUCUAUAAAGGAAGGUUUAAGGACUUCGGGACAUUAGGAUGCUGUUUUUGACCAUGUACGAAAUGCUACUGGGUUACGGUUAGCAACACUGGUUGGGACACCGGAACACAUUUACUGCAAAACACACAAGCAUGGGUCAUAUUUUCUCUUACUUUAACAUUAUUGGGUAAUAUCAGUGACUAUAGGGGUGUUAUUUCAUGUCUACAGGGCUCUAACAAUGUUAAUUCAUUUACUACCAAACAUGUAUUAUAUGUUUUUUUGCACAAAAGGCAUGGUUAGUGCAGUUUUAAGCCGUAUUUGGUAAUACCAGUGACUAUAGGGGUGUUAUUUCAUGUCUACGGGGCUCUAACAAUGUUAAUUAAUUCGCUACCAAACAUGUAUUAUGUUUUUUUGCACAAAAGGCAAAUAAGUGCAAAAUAGAAUACAUCAUGAUUAGUGCAGUUUUAAGCCGUAUUGGGUAAUAACAGUGACUAUAGGGGUGUUAUUUCAUGUCUACAGGGCUCUAACAAUGUUAAUUCAGUCGCUACCAAACAUGUAUUAUAUGUGUUUUUUGCACAAAAGACAAAAAGUACAAAAUAGAAUAGAUCAUGAUUAGUGCAAUUUUAAGCCGUAUUUGGUAAUAACAGUGACUAUAGGGGUGUUAUUUCAUGUCUACGGGGCUCUAACAAUGUUAAUUCAUUCGCUACCAAACGUGUACUAUGUUAUUUUUUUGCACAAAAGGCAAAAAGUGCAAAAUAGAAUAGAUCAUGAUUAGUGCAGUUUUAAGCCAUAUUGGGUAAUACCAGUGACUAUAGGGGUGUUAUUUCAUGUCUACAGGGCUCUAACAAUGUUAGUUAAUUCGCUACCAAACAUGUAUUAUAUGUUUUUUUUUGCACAAAAGAUAAAAAGUACAAAAUAGAAUAGAUCAUGAUUAGUGCAGUUUUAAGCCGUAUUGGGUAAUACCAGUGACUAUAGGGGUGUUAUUUCAUGUCUACAGGGCUCUAACAAUGUUGAUUCAUUCGCUACCAAAGAUGUAAAAACGUGCUGACACAAGUGCAGAAUAGACUACAUCAUGAUUAGUGCAGUUUUAAGCUGUAUUGGGUAAUACCAGUGACUAUAGGGGUGUUAUUUCAUGUCUGCAGGGCUCUAACAAUGUUAAUUAAUUAAGUAUUUCUCAGUCGUGGUGGCAAGCUUACAUUUUUUGGUUCUCAUGACAUCAUAAUAAAGUAUUUUUUCUUUAAUGUAUCGACGACAAAUCACUAAAAUGGUCAC